This 136-nucleotide microRNA precursor is filed under the name Hordeum vulgare. Its description in RNAcentral is "microRNA MIR1122". It matches the Rfam family "MIR1120/MIR1122 microRNA precursor family". Lineage: Eukaryota; Viridiplantae; Streptophyta; Magnoliopsida; Poales; Poaceae. The record is from RNAcentral.
UGAAUACUCCCUCCGUCUUAAAAUUCUUGUCUUACAUUUGUGUAGAUAUGAAUGUAUCUAGUCACAUUUUAGUAUUUAGAUACAUCCAUUUAUAGACAAAUCUAAGACAAGAAAUUUGGGAUGGAGGGAGUAAUUU